RNAcentral lists this ribosomal RNA (253 nucleotides) under uncultured bacterium. RNAcentral's name for it is "partial 16S ribosomal RNA". It matches the Rfam family "Bacterial small subunit ribosomal RNA", at positions 524 to 776 of the family's 1533-position model. The record is from RNAcentral.
UACGAAGGGGGCUAGCGUUGCUCGGAAUCACUGGGCGUAAAGCGCACGUAGGCGGACUCUUAAGUCAGGGGUGAAAUCCUGGAGCUCAACUCCAGAACUGCCUUUGAUACUGGGAGUCUUGAGUUCGGGAGAGGUGAGUGGAACUGCGAGUGUAGAGGUGAAAUUCGUAGAUAUUCGCAAGAACACCAGUGGCGAAGGCGGCCAACUGGUCCGGUACUGACGCUGAGGUGCGAAAGCGUGGGGAGCAAACAGA